UACGUAGGGGGCAAGCGUUGUCCGGAUUUAUUGGGCGUAAAGAGCGUGUAGGCGGUCUGGUAGGUCCGUUGUGAAAACUCGAGGCUCAACCUCGAGACGCCGAUGGAAACCCUCAGACUAGAGUCCGGAAGAGGAGAGUGGAAUUCCUGGUGUAGCGGUGAAAUGCGCAGAUAUCAGGAAGAACACCCGUGGCUAAGGCGGCUCUCUAGUACGGUACUGAGGCUGAGACGCGAAAGCGUGGGGAGCGAACAGG
RNAcentral lists this ribosomal RNA (253 nucleotides) under uncultured bacterium. RNAcentral describes it as "partial 16S ribosomal RNA". It matches the Rfam family "Bacterial small subunit ribosomal RNA", at positions 524 to 776 of the family's 1533-position model. The record is from RNAcentral.